This 305-nucleotide ribosomal RNA is filed under the name uncultured bacterium. RNAcentral's name for it is "bacterial SSU rRNA". It matches the Rfam family "Bacterial small subunit ribosomal RNA", at positions 333 to 636 of the family's 1533-position model. The record is from RNAcentral.
UUUGACCUACGGGACGCAGCAGUGAGGAAUAUUGGUCAAUGGGAGAGAUCCUGAACCAGCCAAGCCGCGUGAGGGAAGACGGCCCUAUGGGUUGUAAACCUCUUUUGUCGGAGAACAAAACCCGGGACGUGUCCCGGACUGCGUGUAUCCGAAGAAAAAGCAUCAGCUAACUCCGUGCCAGCAGCCGCGGUAAUACGGAGGAUGCGAGCGUUAUCCGGAUUUAUUGGGUUUAAAGGGUGCGUAGGCGGUCUGUUAAGUCAGCGGUAAAAUUGCGGGGCUCAACCCCGUCGAGCCGUUGAACCUGG